CGGUAAGCAAACGAGUGAGUACCAGAAGCAAUACUUUUUCUAACAUUAACGCCAACAUACGUCCAAUCAGGUUUCUGCCUUUCGACUGAAGUUGUAGAAACGGCACACUACACCGCAGAAUUCCAAUAACGGUGAAGGGCUUCAGGGUGCUGCCGCUCCGCAGUACUCCAUAUGGAUUGGCACGCCGCUUUGAGAACGUUUUCUAGCCGCCAUAUUGUCAGGCCCGUUAUUUGCCCUGGCUCUGUGUCGUAGCGUGACACUGAGGCUGUGCCAGCUUUUGUCACUGAUGUGCGAAAGGUCCACCUUCAGAACAGGAAGCCAUUGUGUUGUUUGUAUAUGAAACGCAUGUCUCUGUACACUUGAGUUCCGAUGUCCCUGUAGGAGGAAAAAUCCUAACACUAUAGAGACAUGUUGGGUUUCAACCACCAGGGGUCACCAAAAGCCUGUGGUCUUCAUUGAAGGUGUUUUAUUUUCAUGUCAUGAAUAUACGCUGAUUUCUCUCUGUGACAUGUUAACAUUUUCCAGUAUGUAAAUUAAAUUGUUUGCGAUUCCCCUGAAUGUGUUUCUACUUAAAAUAUCAUGUCUGUACUUCAUUUAUACUA
Anguilla rostrata (American eel) is the source of this 602-nucleotide long non-coding RNA. RefSeq lists it as uncharacterized. The transcript is spliced from 2 exons. The record is from RefSeq and is a predicted model, not a curated record. NCBI's taxonomy places the organism in Eukaryota, Metazoa, Chordata, Actinopteri, Anguilliformes, Anguillidae.